UUUUCCCCCCGGGGAUUUUGGGGUUUUCCAGAGGGAUUUGGGAAAGGGGAGAAUCUCCACAAAAAUUGGGAAUGGGAAUUGGGAUAUUGUGAAAAUGGGAAUGAUCAAAAUCCCUCUUUUCCCAGGAGAAUCCCCAUUUUUGGGGCCCUGGUUUUUUUGGGGGAAUGACAGGAUUUGGGAAAAGCUGGACAUUCCAGGGAAACACCACCCAGGAAAAUCCCAAUUUUUGGGCCCCAUUUCCCUGGAAAAGUGCCGGAGCUGGGAAUUCUGGGAAUUUUAAUAACGGAGCCAGGGCUGGAAAAUUUAAUAACGGAGCUGAUCCGAUUAUCCCGGAUUUCUGCCGGAGCAAUUUCCGCUGGAGCCAGGGGGGUCGGAGCCCCCGGCCGGAGCCGCCGCUGGAAUUGGAUUUUCCGGAGGUUUCCCUUCCCAGCCCCUUCUAUUUUAUGGGAACCCCUGAGUUUUGGGAAUUUUUGGGGGAGUUCUCCCCUAAAAAAUAGUUUGUUUUUUUUUUUUUUU
Molecule: long non-coding RNA, 516 nt
Organism: Melospiza melodia melodia
Lineage: Eukaryota; Metazoa; Chordata; Aves; Passeriformes; Passerellidae
Exons: 2
Source: RefSeq, a predicted model, not a curated record